CUCCAUUCAUCCCCUCUGUCCCUCAGCAAGAGCCCCCUGUGCACUCAGCUCUUCUCUCCUGAGAUCUGUGCCGACUCUUUGCCUCCGGAGAGGCCACUGCAGGCACAGGUAGUUGGGGCAGCCCAACACCGAGCAGCAGAAAUGCAUUUAAUGUCACGGAAUGUGCUGCUCUCCCUCAGCCCAAACAGCACAGAACAGAGAGCAGCGCAGAGGGGACGCCGGCGUGUCCUAAUGGAGAAGGACAAAUAUGUCUGAGACGAACCUUCAGAGCAUCUCAUACAGAGUGAGUUGGGAAGAAUGUAUUAUUUCAAAACCUCCGUGUUUGUCCAAGCAGGCGGAUAAUGGCAUUCUUGAGAACACAGCGUUGCUGUCACACAGCGCCCUCAGCACAGAUGGAGACUGAGCAGAACUGCUUAGGAAUACGUUGGGGCUUCAUGUGUUUACAGUCCAUCCUAAUGGCAGGGCGGCUGAUGCUGAGCUCAGCCCGAGCAGUGAAUGGAAGACGUUUCCACGCACUGCUGUUCUGUGUUGGGCUUUUAGGCGCUGCAUGCACCACGGUUUCCUCUCCAAGCACCCUCCUUGCUGUGCUGCAUGGACCCAUGGCUGAAUUCUCACCGGAGCAGAGCUUUCCUCUACAUCAUUUGACCAACUCUUCAAGAGACCACGCAGUAAUGACAAAAACAUGCAAUUAUCUUUCAUCACCUGAUUUGCCCAUUUUACUGAGAUCAUUGAGAGUGGCUCCAUGUUCAGUUUUGGUCUACUUGUCAAAGAUUCAGCAAGAAAUCCAUGAGAUAAUGGUGGUUACUACAUUCAGAAAAUUAAGAAGUUGUAUCCUCCUUUUCUCCAGAAAUAUCCGCCUAUUCUCCAGAAUCAUAAUG
Long non-coding RNA from Gallus gallus (chicken), 878 nucleotides. The record is from Ensembl. NCBI's taxonomy places the organism in Eukaryota, Metazoa, Chordata, Aves, Galliformes, Phasianidae.